AUACGGAGGAUCCGAGCGUUAUCCGGAUUUAUUGGGUUUAAAGGGUGCGCAGGCGGCCAUUUAAGUCAGCGGUUAAAUCGUGGGGCUCAACCCCAUUCUGCCGUUGAUACUGGGUGGCUUGAUUGCGGUCGAGGUUGGCGGAAUUCGUUGUGUAGCGGUGAAAUGCAUAGAUAUGACGAAGAACACCGAUUGCGUAGGCAGCUGACCAGACCGCAAAUGACGCUCAUGCACGAAAGUGCGGGGAUCGAACAGGAUUAGAUACCCUGGUAGUCCGCACAGUAAACGAUGAAUACUCGUUUUCGGCGAUAUAAUGUCGGAGGCAAAGCGAAAGCGAUAAGUAUUCCACCUGGGGAGUACGCCGGCAACGGUGAAACUCAAAGGAAUUGACGGGG
RNAcentral lists this ribosomal RNA (392 nucleotides) under uncultured bacterium. Its description in RNAcentral is "partial 16S ribosomal RNA". It matches the Rfam family "Bacterial small subunit ribosomal RNA", at positions 523 to 918 of the family's 1533-position model. The record is from RNAcentral.